RNAcentral lists this ribosomal RNA (253 nucleotides) under uncultured bacterium. RNAcentral describes it as "partial 16S ribosomal RNA". It matches the Rfam family "Bacterial small subunit ribosomal RNA", at positions 524 to 776 of the family's 1533-position model. The record is from RNAcentral.
UACAGAGGUCUCAAGCGUUGUUCGGAUUCAUUGGGCGUAAAGGGUGCGUAGGUGACGCGCUAAGUCAGGUGUGAAAUUUCGGAGCUUAACUCCGAAACUGCAUUUGAUACUGGCGUGCUUGAGGACUGGAGAGGAGACUGGAAUUCAUGGUGUAGCAGUGAAAUGCGUAGAGAUCAUGAGGAAGACCAGUGGCGAAGGCGGGUCUCUGGACAGUUCCUGACGCUGAGGCACGAAGGUCAGGGGAGCAAACGGG